GAUGGGCAUGCGUCCUAUUAGUUAGUUGGCGGGGUAACAGCCCACCAAGACGAUGAUAGGUAGGGGUUCUGAGAGGAAGGUCCCCCACAUUGGAACUGAGACACGGUCCAAACUCCUACGGGAGGCAGCAGUGAGGAAUAUUGGUCAAUGGACGUAAGUCUGAACCAGCCAAGUCGCGUGAGGGAAGACUGCCCUAUGGGUUGUAAACCUCUUUUAUAAGGGAAGAAUAAGUUCUACGUGUAGAAUGAUGCCUGUACCUUAUGAAUAAGCAUCGGCUAACUCCGUGCCAGCAGCCGCGGUAAUACGGAGGAUGCGGGCGUUAUCCGGAUUUAUUGGGUUUAAAGGGUGCGUAGGCGGUUUAUUAAGUUAGUGGUUAAAUAUUUGAGCUAAACUCAAUUGUGCCAUUAAUACUGGUAAACUGGAGUACAGACGAGGUAGGCGGAAUAAGUUAAGUAGCGGUGAAAUGCAUAGAUAUAACUUAGAACUCCGAUAGCGAAGGCAGCUUACCAGACUGUAACUGACGCUGAUGCACGAGAGCGUGGGUAGCGAACAGGAUUAGAUACCCUGGUAGUCCACG
This 577-nucleotide ribosomal RNA is filed under the name uncultured bacterium. Its description in RNAcentral is "bacterial SSU rRNA". It matches the Rfam family "Bacterial small subunit ribosomal RNA", at positions 224 to 799 of the family's 1533-position model. The record is from RNAcentral.